AGAGUUGAUCCUGGCUCAGGAUGAACGCUGGCGGCGUGCUUAACACAUGCAAGUCGAACGGAGUUUUAACGGAAGUUUCGGAUGGAAGUUUAGAAACUUAGUGGCGGACGGGUGAGUAACGCGUGGGUAACCUGCCUCAGUACAGGGGGAUAACAGUUAGAAAUGACUGCUAACACCGCAUAAUAUAGCGAAACCGCAUGAUUUUGCUAUCAAAUAUUUAUAGGUAUGAGAUGGGCCCGCGUCUGAUUAGCUAGUUGGUGGGGUAAAAGCCUACCAAGGCGACGAUCAGUAGCCGGCUUGAGAGAGUGACCGGCCACAUUGGGACUGAGACACGGCCCAAACUCCUACGGGAGGCAGCAGUGGGGAAUAUUGGACAAUGGGGGAAACCCUGAUCCAGCGACGCCCGCGUGAGUGAAGAAGUAUUUCGGUAUGUAAAGCUCUAUCAGCAGGGAAGAUAAUGACAGUACCUGACUAAGAAGCCCCGGCUAACUACGUGCCAGCAGCUGC
RNAcentral lists this ribosomal RNA (507 nucleotides) under uncultured bacterium. RNAcentral describes it as "bacterial SSU rRNA". It matches the Rfam family "Bacterial small subunit ribosomal RNA", at positions 8 to 518 of the family's 1533-position model. The record is from RNAcentral.